RNAcentral lists this ribosomal RNA (1689 nucleotides) under metagenome. Its description in RNAcentral is "bacterial LSU rRNA". It matches the Rfam family "Bacterial large subunit ribosomal RNA", at positions 1205 to 2925 of the family's 2925-position model. The record is from RNAcentral.
AAAUGUGUAAACAUUGGUAGAGGAGCAUUGCUAGCGGGAUGAAGCCUUACCGAAAGGAGUGGUGGACUGCUAGGAAGAGAGAAUGCCGGAAUGAGUAGCGAGAUGAAGGUGAGAAUCCUUCAGGCCGAAUAUCUAAGGUUUCCAGAGUAAAGCUGAUCUGCUCUGGGUAAGUCGGGACCUAAGGCGAGGUCGAAAGACGUAGUCGAUGGAUAACAGGUUGAAAUUCCUGUACCGCAUAUAAACAGAACUGUGGGGACACAGACAGGGAAUGGAAUCCGGGGAUGGAGAACCCGGAGCAAGCGAGGUAGGAGUGCUGUUGGCAAAUCCGCAGCACGAUCUGAAGACGUGAUGCGUACCGAACAUAAGUAGGGAAGUCCAGGCCCCUGGCUGUCAAGAAAAGCCGCUAUUGUUUUAUAUGUGCCCGUACCGCAAACCGACACAGGUGGAUGAGGAGAGAAUCCUAAGGCCGACGGGAGAAGUAUUGUUAAGGAACUCGGCAAAAUGACUCCGUAACUUCGGGAGAAGGAGUGCCAUGAGAGUGGCCGCAGAGAAAUGGCCCAAGCAACUGUUUAGCAAAAACACAGGUCUAUGCAAAACCGCAAGGUGAAGUAUAUGGGCUGACGCCUGCCCGGUGCUGGAAGGUUAAGGGGAGAGGUUAGCGCAAGCGAAGCUUUGAACUUAAGCCCCAGUAAACGGCGGCCGUAACAAUAACGGUCCUAAGGUAGCGAAAUUCCUUGUCGGGUAAGUUCCGACCCGCACGAAAGGCGUAAUGAUUUGGGCACUGUCUCAACGAUACACCCGGUGAAAUUGAAAUACCAGUGAAGAUGCUGGUUACCUGCGCCAGGACGGAAAGACCCCAUGGAGCUUUACUCCAGUUUGAUACUGGGAUUCGGCAUGGUAUGUACAGGAUAGGUGGAAGACUGAGAAGGUAUGACGUCAGUUGUACCGGAGUCGCUGCUGGGAUACCACCCUUACCAUGUUGGAUUUCUAACCUGUGGCCGUGAACCGGUCAGGGGACAAUGUCAGGCGGGGAGUUUGACUGGGGCGGUCGCCUCCGAAAGGGUAUCGGAGGCGCUCAAAGGUUCCCUCAGAAUGGUUGGAAACCAUUCGAAGAGUGCAAAGGCAGAAGGGAGCUUGACUGUGACACCGACGGGUGGAGCAGGUACGAAAGUAGGACUUAGUGAUCCGGUGGUAUAAAGUGGGAUUGCCAUCGCUCAACGGAUAAAAGCUACCCCGGGGAUAACAGGCUUAUCACUCCCAAGAGUUCACAUCGACGGAGUGGUUUGGCACCUCGAUGUCGGCUCAUCGCAUCCUGGAGCUGUAGCAGGUUCCAAGGGUUGGGCUGUUCGCCCAUUAAAGCGGUACGCGAGCUGGGUUCAGAACGUCGUGAGACAGUUCGGUCCCUAUCCGGCGCAGGCGGAGGAAAUUUGAUAGGAGCUGUCCUUAGUACGAGAGGACCGGGAUGGACGGACCGCUGGUGUAUCUGUUGUACUGCCAAGUGCAUCGCAGAGUAGCCAAGUCUGGAAGGGAUAAACGCUGAAGGCAUCUAAGCGUGAAGCCCCCCUAAAGAUAAGAUUUCCCAUACCGAAAGGUAGUAAGACCCCUUGAAGACGACGAGGUAUAUAGGGCAGAGGUGGAAGUGCGGUAACGCAUGGAGCUGACUGUUACUAAUCGGUCGAGGCUUUAACC